AGUCGCGUGGUCUAAUGGUUAUGAUUUCUCGUUCACACCGAGAAGGUUCCCGGUUCGAUCCCGGGCGCGACUA
This 73-nucleotide transfer RNA is filed under the name Aspergillus niger. Its description in RNAcentral is "tRNA-Val". RNAcentral also lists the same sequence under 10 other names. Lineage: Eukaryota; Fungi; Ascomycota; Eurotiomycetes; Eurotiales; Aspergillaceae. The record is from RNAcentral.